UGUCGUAUCUGUUCCAUUAUUGCUCUGUAUCUGCUCCAUUAUUGCUCUUUAUCUUAUCUUUCCAGCUGGCAUUUUGUCUUCUUUAUUCUAGAUGUACCUCUGGAAUAAUAUUAUCUUCUCCAUUGCACCUCGAACAUUGGUGGUCUGGAUAUUUAUGUCCAAUUAUUUUACAGUAUCUUGUUAGCAGUCCGUCUGAAAUAAAUCCCUUUUUUAUUGCUCUCGCGGUAGAUUGUUUUUCUGGGUUAAGUAGCGUCAGUAUCCAUUGUCUUACGUCUUCCAUAUCUGCUUGGCGUAGCUCUUUUGAAUUUGAAUAUAUCAUUUGAUGGUCUCUGGAAUAGUAGCUCCAUAUCGGGUUUCCGUUAGCGUAGUUAUUUGCUAGUUCUUGUAUGAUCGUAGCUAGUCCAAUAAGUCUUUUAUUUGCAUAAAAAUCUGGUAUCUCUAUUCUGGGUAUCUCUGGUUGUUGCGAAAUAUCUUC
This 475-nucleotide long non-coding RNA is filed under the name Capsicum annuum. RNAcentral's name for it is "long non-coding RNA (CANN_LNC014390)". Lineage: Eukaryota; Viridiplantae; Streptophyta; Magnoliopsida; Solanales; Solanaceae. The record is from RNAcentral.